This 479-nucleotide ribosomal RNA is filed under the name uncultured bacterium. RNAcentral describes it as "partial 16S ribosomal RNA". It matches the Rfam family "Bacterial small subunit ribosomal RNA", at positions 28 to 507 of the family's 1533-position model. The record is from RNAcentral.
GAUGAACGCUAGCGGGAGGCCUAACACAUGCAAGCCGAGCGGUAUUGUUUCUUCGGAAAUGAGAGAGCGGCGUACGGGUGCGUAACACGUGUGCAACCUGCCUUUAUCUGGGGGAUAGCCUUUCGAAAGGAAGAUUAAUACUCCAUAAUAUAUUGAACGGCAUCGUUUAAUAUUGAAAGCUCCGGCGGAUAGAGAUGGGCACGCGCAAGAUUAGCUAGUUGGUGAGGUAACGGCUCACCAAGGCGAUGAUCUUUAGGGGGCCUGAGAGGGUGAUCCCCCACACUGGUACUGAGACACGGACCAGACUACUACGGGAGGCAGCAGUGAGGAAUAGUGGUCAAUGGGUGCAAGCCUGAACCAGCCAUCCCGCGUGAAGGACGACUGCCCUAUGGGUUGUAAACUUCUUUUGUAUAGGGAUAAACCUACCCUCGGGAGGGUAGCUGAAGGUACUAUACGAAUAAGCACCGGCUAACUCCGUG